Dicentrarchus labrax (European seabass) is the source of this 109-nucleotide ribosomal RNA. The record is from Ensembl. Lineage: Eukaryota; Metazoa; Chordata; Actinopteri; Moronidae.
GCUUACGGCCAGACCACCCUGAACACGCCCGAUCUCGGAAGCUAAGCGGGGUUGGGCCUGUUUAGUACUUGGAUAGGAGACUGCCUAGGAAUACCAGGUGCUGCAAGCU